This 71-nucleotide transfer RNA is filed under the name Loxodonta africana (African savanna elephant). It matches the Rfam family "tRNA". Rfam says of the family: Transfer RNA (tRNA) molecules are approximately 80 nucleotides in length. Their secondary structure includes four short double-helical elements and three loops (D, anti-codon, and T loops). The record is from Rfam by way of RNAcentral. Lineage: Eukaryota; Metazoa; Chordata; Mammalia; Proboscidea; Elephantidae.
GCAUUGGUGGUUCAGUGGUAGAAUUCUCACCUUCCACAUGGGAGACCAGGGUUCGAUUCCCAGCCAACACA